This 84-nucleotide transfer RNA is filed under the name Candidatus Pacearchaeota archaeon. RNAcentral describes it as "tRNA-Leu". It matches the Rfam family "tRNA". Rfam says of the family: Transfer RNA (tRNA) molecules are approximately 80 nucleotides in length. Their secondary structure includes four short double-helical elements and three loops (D, anti-codon, and T loops). The record is from RNAcentral. Lineage: Archaea; Nanobdellati.
GCGGAGAUGCCAGAGUGGUCAAAUGGGCUGGAUUUAGGCUCCAGUGGCUUAGUGCCUACGUAGGUUCGAAUCCUAUUCUCCGCA